AGAGUUUGAUCAUGGCUCAGGAUGAACGCUGGCGGUCUGCUUAACACAUGCAAGUCGAACGGAAGUAGCAAUACUUUAGUGGCGGACGGGUGAGUAACGCGUGAGAAUCUACCUUCAGGACGGAGACAACAGUUGGAAACGACUGCUAACCCCCGAUGUACCGCAAGGGCAAAUAUUUAUAGCCUGAAGAAGAGCUCGCGUCCGAUUAGCUAGUUGGGGGGGUAAAAGCCCACCAAGGCGACGAUCGGUAGCUGGUCUGAGAGGACGAUCAGCCACACUGGGACUGAGACACGGCCCAGACUCCUACGGGAGGCAGCAGUGGGGAAUUUUCCGCAAUGGGCGCAAGCCUGACGGAGCAAGACCGCGUGGGGGAGGAAGGCUCUUGGGUUGUAAACCCCUUUUCUCUGGGAAGAACAAAAUGACGGUACCAGAUGAUCAGCUCGAUUUUGCCU
Molecule: ribosomal RNA, 452 nt
Filed under: uncultured cyanobacterium
Lineage: Bacteria; Bacillati; Cyanobacteriota
Description: bacterial SSU rRNA
Rfam family: Bacterial small subunit ribosomal RNA
Source: RNAcentral